UACGUAGGGGGCUAGCGUUGUCCGGAUUUACUGGGCGUAAAGCGCGCGCAGGCGGUUCGUUAAGUCCGGUGUGAAAGCUCCCGGCUCAACUGGGAGAGGUCAUUGGAUACUGGCGAACUCGAGGGAGGCAGAGGAAGGUGGAAUUCCCGGUGUAGUGGUGAAAUGCGUAGAGAUCGGGAGGAACACCAGUGGCGAAGGCGGCCUUCUGGGCCUUUCCUGACGCUGAGGCGCGAAAGCGUGGGGAGCGAACCGG
RNAcentral lists this ribosomal RNA (253 nucleotides) under uncultured bacterium. RNAcentral's name for it is "partial 16S ribosomal RNA". It matches the Rfam family "Bacterial small subunit ribosomal RNA", at positions 524 to 776 of the family's 1533-position model. The record is from RNAcentral.